RNAcentral lists this long non-coding RNA (25370 nucleotides) under Octopus vulgaris (common octopus). Lineage: Eukaryota; Metazoa; Mollusca; Cephalopoda; Octopoda; Octopodidae. The record is from RNAcentral.
CUUUCUCCCACUGUCUCAUUCUCUACAUGCCUCUCAUCCUCAAGCUCUCUCUCUCUCUCUCUCUCUCUCACUCACCGCCUUACCACUUCUUCCUAUCUCUCUCCCUCUCAUCUGCUUUCACUCCCUCCCCCCUCCCCAAUCUCCCUAACUUCUCUGGCUUUCUCUCUUCUUAUCUCGCUCUCCUUCUCUCUUUCACUCACUUCCUCCCCUUGCAGUUUACAGCAAUGCCACAAUGGAAGUUGGUGGUUAGAGGUAAGUAUAAAGAGAUGGUCACACAAGGCUUGCAUUGAUUCUUCAUGGCAGUUGUUGCUGUUGCUGUUGUUGAUGAUGAUGAUGAUGAUGAUGAUGAUGAUGAUGAUGAUGAUGAUGAUGAUGAUGAUGAUGUGAAAAAAAUGAUGUGGCUGAUGACAGUUUUUUAUUACUGUCGAUGGUGAUGAUGCAGUUGCUAUUGUUGUUUAUAAGGACGCACAAAUGUUUGAUGAUAAUCUCAAUGAUAAUGCAGCUAUUACAUAGCAAAAGACAAUCCUGUCGCUAAUGUUGCUAAUGUUGAUGAUGAUGAUGAUGAUGAUAAUGACUUGUUAUUGUUUGGAUUGUUUACCUUUGACGAUGUUGUUCUUGUUACCAUAGUGAUUGCUUCAAAAAACUGUUGUUAUUACCAUUGCAGUUGUUAUAGUUAGACUUUUAAUUGAUUUUGUAGCUGUUAUGAGUGUCGCCGCUGACAAUACUAUUAUUAUUAUUAUUAUUAUUAUUAUUAUUAUUAUUAUUAUUAUUAUAUCAUAGCUAGAGUGAUCGCUUUUAUUGUGGUUGUUGUCGUUGUUGUGAUGUUGUUAUUGCGAAUGUUGUCGAAGAUGAGAAUGCUACUGUUGUUGUCAUUAUUGCACCGAUCUUACUGUCAAUGGUAUUGAUGAUGGUGAUGAUGAUGAUGAUGACGACGACAACGAUGGUGAUGGAGAUGGUAAUGAUGUUGAUGCUAGUGAUGUUGUUGUUGUUACUAAGUUGCUUUGUAAUGAUGGGGCAGAGCAUGGUCAGAGUGGAGAGGAACAAUGAAGUGAAGCUCCUGUUGGUUCCACUAACGGUGCUGCUGUUGCCAUUUCUAAUGCUAAUAUUGCUGCUGUUGCUGCUACUGUUGUCACUGUAGUUAUUGGUAGCUGUCUUAGUGGUGAUGGUUGCAGAAGUAAUGACAGGCCUGUUGCUGAAGCAGAGUUACAGAUGUGGUGGUGGUGGUGGUUUCCAUUGUGAUGAUGACGUUGAUGUUAAUCAUAACGAUGAUGUUAAUUUUUAAAACGAGCAAGAGUAGUCGGAAUUUAUGGUGCUUGUAUUUUCCUAAUAAUGAAUUCUCACUUUGGCAAAAUACUAUAAAUUAUGCCACAAAAAUGUACUUAAUUAAAAUGUCCCCAGUAAGCCACUGGUUUCUUUUUUUUUUUUUCCUCCUUUAAGGAAUAAAAAUGACUGUAGCAUGAUUAAAUUCAGAAAAUACAGUGAAAAAACUAAAAAACUGUUAGGCAUUUAGUUUUGUACUUUAUAGUUAGUUACUACACUUCUCUUUUCUAAUAAUUAUAAUUACAAAUAUGAAACAAGGAAAGGAUGUACGGUCAGUUGAAUUAGCUAGUAUUUAUAUUGUUAACUUUCGUGGGGUAAAAGAUACAAUCAAUCUUGUACCAUAUUAAAUGUUUCCCUGUAUUUAAUUACACUCAGAGAAAUAACAAUCAAUUCAAAAAGAAUUGAACUCCAAAAAGUGAAGUACCAACCUUUAAAAAGGUGGCCAGUUAAACACUACAAUUUCUCCCUCACUUUCCACUACACUUGGCAAUAACAAUGAAAAUAAUUAAACGUCUAAAAAGGUUUGAGGUGAGAAUUAGUUACAAGUUUUAUAAUUAUAAAUUUUCAGGUCACUAACCUUAUCUUUAGAGAUAAACCAUAUUUUCAUAUUUAUAUUAUUGUUCUGAUCAGCUUGAUCUCUUCCCAUCAUCAAGUGUUGUGUUCUUGGAUGUUUACACUGUACCAAGAUAAAUUCAUACUUAGAACCUUUAUUUCAAACUAAAAGUAGUCAUGCUCUUAUCUACCAGGAAACUGAUGCAUGUAACCAAGUAGAUAGGAGCAUUAUUAGAAAUAAGGAUGUAUACAUAAUACCUAAUGUAAUUUGAACUUGGAGUUCAAAUUUCCUCACAUACUGUGUAUACAUCCAAGAAUAAAACACCUGAUGGUGAUUGGAGAUCAGACUGUUUGAAACAUAGAGCAGAUAUAAUAUCAAAACAUUUUCCUUUAUAGUCCAAAAUUAUAAUAAUGACAAUAAUCUUCCCAUUAUUUGCAACAUGGACUUCAAAAGGCGCUUAUCACAUUGAGAGAAAAAAGUUAUGUUUCAGACUGGAAAGCAAAUAGUUUCACUGAAAAAAAAUCUUUUCUUUUAACUACACUGCAUGCCUGUUUUGUGAAGGGAGGGUUUCAGCAAAAUGAAGAUUAUAUGAUUCAGGAAAUAAAAGUUUGUGUACACCAGGGAGAUAUGAAUUCUGAUAUUUUAAGCUUUGUUAAGCAAACCUAUUCUUGUGACUCCUGAUUUGAUCCAAUCUUCCAGGUACAUAUAUUUGAUUAAGAAACUUGUCUUGAAAGUUUUAACAGAAGUGGUGCAUACAUACAUGAAGGGCUGUCUUAACUGCACAAUCGACCUCUGGGAAAAGCAAGGCACUCAAUCUCAUAUAUUUACUUAUUAAGCACAAGCCACAAUAAAUACAGAUUAGUUUUGGACCCCUAGAUCCAUGGGGCCUCCAAGCAACAGCCCAGUGAGUCUAUGCCAAAAUAUAGCACUGCAUACAUCUUGUAAAUGAUGUACUACCACUCAAAAUGGAAGCAAUCUAACUCAUCAGAAGAACCUCUUUCACAUUUGGUGAAAGGGCCAGAUGUUUAUGUUGAUAAAGUUCAUCUGCCACUAGCAUUAACUUUACAAAGAUAUCAUAAUUCCCUAUGUGCAGAUAUGCAGACAUGUGCUGAGACUAGUAUUUUAAGAGAUUCUUGAUCACCAAACAAAUGCUUAACAACCAGAAAUCUUUAAAGACCAGAUCCACUCCAUUACUGAAUUAUCUAUAUUUUCCAAAAUUUCAAUCAAUUAACUUUACUGAAGCCAUAGCUUUUAAGCACCAAGAUAGAUAGAGGUUUCAUUUAUUAAUUGCAAAGAUAAUUUUAAUUAAAGAAAGCUUUUCAGCUCACUAUAUUCCAUUUCGUAACUAUGACUUUUCUGCAUUCCGAAUACAUUUUGGAAUAUGGUACCUCACUCAUUACUCUUCACAUACAGGUUUAUGUACUCAAUUUAACUUCUGUGUUCACAUUAUAUUGAGAAUUAGCGCAGGAUAUUAACAAUGGCACAGGAGUGGUGUGUGGUAAGUAGCUUGCUUACCAACCACAUGGUCCCGGGUUCAGUCCCACUGUGUGGUACCUUGGGCAAGUGUCUCCUACUAAAGCUUUGGGCCAACCAAAACUGAAGCGAUUGCAUCAUAGAAGAGAAUAUGAAAGUUGAAGGAAAGGUAGUAACAUACAAGUGUGUGUGUGUGUGUAUAUAUAUAUAUAUAGAUAUAGAUAUAUAGAUAUAUAUAUAUAUAUAUAUAUAUAUAUAUAUAUAUAUAUAUAUAGAUAGAUAGAUAGAUAGAUAGAUAUAUAUAUACAUAUAUAUAUAUAUAUAUAUAUAUAUAUAUAUAUAUAUAUAUAUAUAUAUAUAUAUAUAUAUAUAUAUACAUACAUAUAUAUAUAUAUAGAUAUAGAUAUACAUAGAUAGAUAGAUACAAAGGAACUGAACAUAAAAGUAAGUAAUAGUGGCCCUUGUCAAAAGUGUCAAUUAACAAGUAUGCAGUAGACUCAUAUGUCCAAAUGUCAACAACAACAAAAAGAAAACCCUUGAUGAGCCAAGGACCCCUGAGGACAACAGAUGAUAAUUUAAAACUUCUUGAUAUAUUGGAGAGGGAGUAAUUGUCCUAGGGAUAGUUGUCAGGGGUGGGGAUUGUCCUUUGUGGGUAAAUGUCCUGAUAUGCCACUGACACCUAUAAAAAUUUACAAGUAAUUAAUGUUCACCAGGCUGCACAAGCGCAUAAAGUGAAUAUAAGAGAUUUUUUUUUUGUUUUUUUGUUCUUGAAUGGUUAAAAUAACUUCCACAGUUGAAAUGUAAUGAAGUCAAAGGUUAAAGACAACUUCCAACUUUGACCUGGCAGUGCUGUAGUGUUCAGGACAAGCAGUGUAUGAGAGAAUGUAUGAGUGACGCAUUCAGUAAAGUAGCAGAGUGUAUGGUCAAAAAUAUUCUUGGGUGUGUUCCAGAUAUUCACAGUCAGAUGAUAACAGUCAAUUCCUGAAUGACACUAACCCACAUAACCAUAUCAUUCAGCAAACUGAUCAUACCCAAAUUUUGUGAUAGAGAAGAGGGAAUAUCCUCCACUUCUCAAGUUUCUAUUAGCCAAUGGUCAGUAAAUAUAUAUAUAGGCGCAGAAGUGGCUGUGUGGUAAGUAGCUUGCUAACCAACCACAUGGUUCUGGGUUCAGUCCCACUGUGUGGCAUCUUGGGCAAGUAUCUUCUGCUAUAGCCUCGGGCCGACCAAAGCCUUGUGGGUGGAUUUGGUAGACGGAAGCUGAAAGAAGCCUGUCGUACAUAUGUAUAUAUAUAUAUAUAUAUAUAUAUGCAUGUGUGUGUAUAUGUUUGUGUGUCUGUGUUUGUCCCCCUAGCAUUGCUUGACAACCGAUGCUGGUGUGUUUACGUCCCCGUCACUUAGCGGUUCGGCAAAAGAGACCGAUAGAAUAAGUACUAGGCUUACAAAGAAUAUGUCCCGGGGUCGAUGUGCUCGACUAAAGGCGGUGCUCCAGCAUGGCCGCAGUCAAAUGACUGAAACAAGUAAAAGAGUAAAAGAGUAAAGAGUAUAUCAAAUAGUUGCUAGUAUUGUAGUUUAUCCCAAAUACAACUCUGAUAAGCAGACCAAUAUAUAAUAUAUAUAUCUACCAUAACUAUCUUCUUUUAUAAAGGUAUCUAAAACUACACUACCUAAUAUGCACUUCCCAUUUAAUAGAGUAGGUAUGCUUUAAAGGAGACUUGAAUGCUAUUUCUAACAGGUUGAGCAACUGCUAGCUCAUGGCUAGCUUGCAUUUGCUUGUAUGUAUGGGACAAGUCAAAUUUCAAGUGAGGUCAUUGAUAGGCAAUCUGUCACCUUCUGUUGGAAACAAUGGCUCCCAAAUUUUCUCAACCAGGUAGUUCCAUUCAUUUCUUUUUCAAAAACACUUUCAACCAACAAAUAUUAUUUCAAGAGGAAAUAGAACAGGAGAUAGAAUGGUAAUCUAUAUUUCAAUAUAUGUUUGUAUAAAAAGGAAGCAGGAGUGGCUGUGUGGUAAGGAGUUUGCUUACUAACCACACGGUUCUGGGUUCAGUCCCACUGCAUGGCACCUUGGGCAAGUGCCUUCUACUAUAGCCUCAGACCAACCAAAGCCUUGCGAGUGGAUAUGGUAGAUGGAAACUGAAAGAAGCCCAUCGUAUGUGUGUGUGUGUUUGUGUGUGUCACCCCCACCAUCGCUUGACAAUCGAUGCUGGUGUAUUUAUGUCCCCGUAACUUAGCAGUUCAAAGUCCAAUUUGUUCGACUAAAGGUGGUGCUCCAGCAUGGUUGCAGUCAAAUGACUGAAACAAAUAAAAGAAUAGAAGGAAGCAUUUGUCCAUAGUUAAGUAUAGUCUAUAUUUUAGGCUAGUUUGAUUUUCUUUACUUGAAUGUAUCCUCUAUAUCUCCUCCAAUGAGAGAUUUUAAUAUUUUAUAAUUAUUCAAUUAUCUGUAACAUAUUCUCUAAUGUUUCCUUACAUUAUAUUUUAUAUUAAUGCGUAAUAUUUUCCAAAUUUGGAUACAUUCUAUAUCAUAGAUGAUAUAAAAGAAAGAAAUAUUCCUAGCCUCCAUCAAAAACAAUUUUAGGAGACAUCCACAAUCCCUGAGAGAGUACCAAUAGCUAAAAGAUGAUGCAAUCCAUUCUCAAUUAGACUGCAUAUCGGCCAUUACUCAGAAUAUAUGAACUAAUGUUUAUAACUUUGGUAAAAUCACAUUGUGAGGGAUCCACAUUGAUUCAUCUGUAUCAAAUGAGACUUAAAUUAAAACUCUGAUUCCACAGAUACCAGAAAUAUAUGAGCUUUCCAAAGCUUAAAACAUUAAAAUUAUUCCAAACCCAAGUGAGAAGUGUUUUCUUACCACAAAUUAAUCUUUAUUUAGUUCAUUUAUCCAAGUCAUUUAUUUCUCUUAUAUUUACAUUACCUUAAUUUUUACUAUUCCCCACCCCCACAAUUACUUCAAUUUAUUUUUGAGGAUAUCCCUCGUCUAAUUAAAUAAUUAUCUACAUUCAUCUCACUACAUGAACCCAUCAAAACAUGUUUAUAUACAUACAAAUACAUUAUAUCAUCACCAUCAUUAAAUGAUGAUGAUAUAUAUAUAUAUAUAUAUAUAUAUAUAUAUAUAUAGAAAAUACUGCAUUGUGUAUAGCAUAGCAGUUACUCACAAACUAGUAUGACUUAGUUGCAAGUACCUUGCUUUCAGUAAUUGCUUAAGGUACUUAUCUUGUCAUGAGCAGACAGAGAAAUUUACUUGGGCUUCCCAUCCUUAACCCAGUGGCACACUGAGGGUGUGACUGCUGGAAAAAGAGGAGGCUGCAACAGUAAUCAGCUGGAAUGCAAUUUCAGCUGAGUAGAUGGAGCAACAUGAUAUGAAGUGCCUUGCUCAAGGGCAUAACACACAGCUCUGUCCAGGAAUCAAACAAUUUUAUGAUCAUGAGGCAAACAUCCUAACCACUAGAUCAUAUACCCACACCCUAACCUCUAAGCCAUAAACCCACACAUCUUUGCUCCAUGUGCAUAUGAUUGAUUUCUAACAUCCACACAAGGCCACAAAUUUUGUCAGAAGCUGACUUUAUUUUUAUCAACCCCUCUGAAAGGAUGAAAUAUAACUGACAUGUCCUAUAAGCUUUAUAUUCAAUUUUACUUUGUUUCUUAGUGAUUUUGUUUUCAGUUUUAUGUAUGCCCUGGUGGCAAAAAUAUCAUUAUUAUUGCCAUAAACAGUGUGAAGAUAACUGAAAUUCACACACAUACAUUUACACACACACACACAUAUCCCAUACCCCACUGAGUUAACUUCAGUUUUUGUCCAGUUGUUGAAAACUUAAAUACAAGUAGUGAAGUUGACUUUACCCAUAACUUCCCUUCCAAAUGUCAUUAAAAUUAUCAACAUACUGAUAUAUUAAUGAUGUUGGUGGUAAUGAAGAUUGUGUAGAAGUUGUAGGGGGCUUUACGGUGGGGUGGAGUUAUCAGUUUGAUCUAGAGGAAAGGGUUCUGAUUGUGGCCUAUGCAGGCCUUCCAAGACCGUUUCAAAUUGAUUGCUACAAGAAAAACAUGUACAAACGAAUUUGAGAGGGCUGACAGUCUGAAAAUAAUGGUCAGUGCGAGAUAUGAGGAUGAAACAAUACAGGUGACAAGAAAAAGAGAAAAACAAGUGAGUUGGGAGUGGCUGGGUGAAGGUGGGAUGAGACCAGCCAACAGGAGGGAGCAGAAGCUAUUGUAGUAGUGGUAGAACAGGCAGAAAGAGGAAACAGAAGUUGGAGUUUGUAAUUGUGAUCGAUUUCAUGCCAAUCAGUUGGGUGGCCUGUCUUUGGAAACUGGUUAGGAUGUGUAUGUGUAGGUGCACAUAGCAACGGUACCAUCCUAGAUGUGGGAGCAGUACUCCAUUAUGGAGGAGGGGAGAUGGUUAAACUGAAGCAUCUCCUGUUUCUGAAGAGGAAGGUUAAGCUUUGAGAUAAUCUUUUCUAUCUUGAAGAUGAACAUGUUCAUCAGGAAAGACCAGCAGCAGCAGCAAUAGCAGCAGCAGCAGCAGCAGCAGCAGGCAGCAGCAGCAGUAGUAGUAGUAGUAGUAGUAGUAGUAGUAGUAGUAGUAGUAGUAGUAGUAGUAGUAGUAGUAGUAGUAGUAGUAGUAGUAGUAGUAGUAGUAGCAGCAGCAGCAGCAGCAGCAGCAGAAGCAAUGUUUACAAGCAUGACCUUCUUCACCUUCCUGCUAGAUCAGCAGUAAAAACAUAUGGAAUUGAUUUUUUUUAAAAAGUGAAUUAUCAGAAAAAAUAGUAAAGCAGGGCAGUCAACUAGACAGACGUCUAGGCUGACUGACUGACUGACGAGGGUGUAUUUAGGGAGUGGUGCAGCUAGGUGAGUGACUGGCUGGCUGGCUGGGCUCCCCACAUAUAGUCUGAGCCAUCACAGUACAGGCUAACUGCAUCUGAUUGACUGAUAGUCAGACUGACAAACAAAACUACCACUCAUCAGGUCAGUAGCAAGACAGGUAGAUUGACAGACUGACAAAUUGACAGUUUGACAGUUUGACAGGUUGACAGAGAUUCAGAAAGAGUUCAACAGACAGUCAGGUCAACUGGCAGAGGUCAAAAGACAGACAGAAAGGAAAAUAGAGCGGCGGAGGAAAGUAGGUAAAGAAGAAGGAAGUGUAGCGAGGGAGAAACUGUGAAGAAGAUUGCAUGGUUGAACGACCUGAGCUGCACAUUCGAGCAUAGCAACAGUGCAAGAGUACAACAGCAAAGAAUUGGUAAAUAGUUGAAAGGGACCUGUACUACCACUGUUGAGUGGGGGUGGUCAUGGUGGGGAUUUGUAACAGUAAGUGAUGACAGUGGUGUCGGGAGAUGGGUAGGGGUGGUGGUAAUGAGAACAGUGGGGGUCAAACAUGUGGAGGCAGGUGGUAGUAAUGAAGGUGGUGGCAGGUGUGCUAACGAAGGAGGCAGGUAGUUGAGGAGAUGUCGUUCAUGGUACUAUGUUGUAGCGAAAAAGUGGUAACAUUAUUUGUGGUUGUACAGUAGUUGCUGUGGGUGAAGUUAAUGAUGGGUGAGGUAGAAGUGUUAAUGGUAGUUAGGGUACUUGCAACAAUGAUUAAAAGUGAUGGCACUGACGGCUGUAGUAGUGUAGUUGAUGUUGGUCUGCAUUAGUGGUGACUAUGAUAGUUUUGACGGUGGUGGUGGUGGUGGUGGAGAUGAAGUUGAGGCGGGUGGGAUGGAUGGAGAAGUGGCUGAAGAUGGUGAUGAGGAGAGUAGCACUGGUGGCGGUGGUGGUAGAGAUGAAGUUGAGUUGGGUGGGAUGGAUGGAGAAGUGGCUGAAGAUGGUGAUGAGGAGAGUAGCACUGGUGGCGGUGGUGGUGGUGGUGGUGGAGAUGAAGUUGAGGCGGGUGGGAUGGAGAAGUGGCUGAAGAUGGGGAUGAGGAGAGUAGCACUGGUGGUGGUGGUGGUGGUGGUGGUGGUGGUGGUGGUGGUGGUGGUGGUGGAGAUGAAGUUGAGUUGGGUGGGAUGGAGAAGUGGCUGAAGAUGGUGAUGAGGAGAGUAGCACUGGUGGCAGUGGUGGUGGUGGUGGUGGUGGCAGUGGUGGUGGUGGCAAUAGUGGUGCUGAUAAUAGUUGUAGUGGUGGUGGUGGUGGUGGCAGUGGCAAGAAUGAUGCUGGCACUGCUUCCAUCCAGCACAACCAGGAAAACUACCUUUGCUGAAAUUCCUUGAAAGAGGACGGUAAACAAAUCAAUGUAAGAAAACCAGGUCAAUAUCCGCAGCUGUAGCAGCAGCAGCAGCAGCAGGGACAGCAACAGUAGCAAUAGUAGCAACAGCAUUUUCGCUGCAGUAGGAUUUGUAGUAUCAGCACCAUUUCUGCAAUGACAGCACCAGUUGCAGUAUUCACUUCUAUGGUACUCUUUGUAGUAGUUGUAGUAGUAGUGCUGUAUUAGUAAGAGAAACACCAGUAGUAAUAGUAUUAGAUGUAAUGUACUAGUAGUAGUAGUAGUAGUAGUAGUAGUAGUAGUAGUAGUAGUAGUGGUGGUGGUGGUGGUGGUGGUGGUGGUGGUAGUAGUAGUAGUAGUAGUAGUAGUAGUAGUAGUAGUAGUAGUAGUAGUAGUAGUAGGUGUAGUAGGUGUAGUAGUAGAAGUAGUAUUUGGUGAUGGUGGUGGUAGUAGUAGUAGUAGUAGUAGUAGUACUAGUAGUAGGUGUAGUAGGUGUAGUAGUAUUUGUCAUGGUGGUGGUGGUGGUGGUGGUGGCAGUGGCAUUGGUUACAGCAGCAGCAGUAGUAGUGGCAGUGGUGGUGGUGGCGGUGGUGGUUAAAAAGAUGCAACAAAUGUUAAUGCUGACUCCACUUGCACCAGUUCCACUUCAAAUACCAUCAACGGCAGUAGGAGAAUACUGGCACCACCAGCAGAAACCAUCAACAGCAGCAUCAGUUUUUAAUGCUUCAGCAUACAGCAACCAAUUCUGCAGAGAUGGUAUCAACACAGCAAUCCUGUAAUGCACAACUGUCUCUGCAUAGAUUUGCAGCCUGUAUGUGUAUUUCUGCAUGUAUAUGUACAUGUAUAUAUAUAUAUAUAUAUAUGUAUAUAUAUGAGGGGUGACUGUAUGUGGUUAUGUGUGUGCGUGUGUGUCUGUGUGUGUGUGUGUGUGUGUGUGUUUACAUGGGUAUAUGCUUCCAAGUGAUUGGGAGAAAUGUCUACACAUAAUAAGUUCAAGUAAGUAUAAUAGCGUAGCUGCAUGAGCGGUUGUUUGAACAUGUGUACAUAAGUGGCUGUAAAUAAUUAUGGUCGUGUGUAUAUGUGUGUAGAUGGUCAUACGUGUAGUUUUAUGAACCAUCUGUAAGUGUGUUAUUGAAUGUGUGUGUGUGUGUGUGUGUGCGUAAAAAAUGAGUUUGGGUAUAUAUAAAAGUAUGUGAGUGUCUACAUGAAAGACUAUAUGCAAAUAAUAUUUUACUUCAAAGGGGUGUUAACUGCAAAAACAAAAUAUUAAUCUCUGUGUAUGUAUAUAUAUAUAUAUAUAUAUAUAUAUAUAUAUAUAUACACACACAUAUAUAUAUAUAUAUACAUACACAUAUUUAUACACACAUAUAUAUACAUACAUAUAUACACAUAUAUUUAUACACGCAUAUAUAUACAUAUAUAUAUACACACAUAUAUAUUUAUACAUAUACACACAUAUAUAUACAUACAUAUACAUAUAUAUAUAUACAUAUAUAUACAUACAUAUAUAUAUACAUACAUAUAUAUAUAUACAUACAUAUAUGUACAUACAUAUAUACAUACAUAUAUAUACACAUAUAUAUACACAUAUGCAUAUAUACAUAUAUAUAUACAUAUAUAUAUAUAUACAUAUAUAUACAUACAUAUAUAUACAUACAUAUAUAUACAUACAUAUAUAUAUAUAUACAUACAUACAUACUUACAUAUAUACAUAUAUAUGUAUACAUAUAUAUAUACACAUAUAUGUAUACAUAUAUAUACACAUAUAUAUAUACAUAUAUACACAUAUAUAUACAUAUAUGUAUACAUAUACAUAUACAUAUAUAUACACACAUAUAUAUACAUAUAUAUACACACAUAUAUAUACAUAUAUCUAUAUAUAUACAUAUAUCUACAUAUAUAUAUAUACAUAUAUGCAUAUACAUACAUAUAUACAUACACAUAUAUAUAUAUAUAUAUAUACACACACAUAUAUGGACACAUACACACACACACAUAUAUACACACACAUUAAAUGCUUGUGUAUGUUCAUAUAUAUAAACAGACAUAGAAAAGUAUUCUUAAUACCAUGUAGGAGCAACCUAGCCAUGUAAAUAUAACAUCAGAACAACCGGUUCAAAUGUUUUGGUUCAAACCUACAGCAGGCACUGUGUGGAGAGAGAGAGAAAGGGUAAGGCAGUUUACUAAACUGUUGGACAUUGGCUGUAGAUUAUUGAGAAACGUUAGGUCAAUGUUCUAUGAGAAAAAGACAUAUCAGUCAUCCAUUUAAAAAUGCAGAACUGAAGCUAAAGCCCAAGAGCUUAAAAGACUAAAGACUGAAGAGAUAUUUACAUAGAGGUAGAGUAUGAGAACAAAUGCAUUAUACUAUUUAAAUGAUCGUUAUAAUGUAGAGACUUCUCCAGGCCAAAUACUCAUUCCACUUGGUUGAAAUCAUUCCACUUCACUUUACAUGGCCAGUAUUAUUAUGAAAGUGAAGAAUACACCUUGUUUUCCGACUACUUAAAGUAUAGGAUAUUGGUGCAUAAUUUAUAACGUAUCAGUAUUUAGUUUUAUCCUUCUCCAAUCCACACUUAAAUCACACUUUCUCUAAAAUCACCAGCAAUAAACUUAGUGUAAUUGACUGUACUGCAUUAUUUUAACUGAAACCUAGUCAAAAAUAAAUAGAUCUUUAGUGUGCAAAUGUGUUUACAAAUUUCUUAAUUCCAUCUGCAAGCCUAUAGUCUACCAUGAGAGGAAGAUCAACUCAUCAGCACCGGCCUGACAAAAUGAAUGUAAAACAAUUAGAGAAUGAUAUUUGUGUUGAUAUGAAAUUUGAGACAUUUAACAAAUUUCAGGUAUAAUUUUUUUAUUAGUUUAUUUCUUGAGCUUUAAUCCUAGGUGACCCUUGAAUAAGCAGGCUAUUAUCAAAAGGAAGAGAAAGAAAUAUAAAAGAAGUAUUUGAGUGGCUGUGUGGUAGCUUGCUUACCAACCACAUGGUUCCAGGUUCAGUCCCACUGCGUGGCAUGCAAGUGUCUUCUACUAUAGCCUCGGGCCGACCAAAGCCCUGUGAGUGUAUUUGAUAGAUGGAAACUGUCAUAUAUAUAUAAAUAUAUCAUCAUCAUAAAUGUGUGUCUGUGUCUGUGUAUGUUUGUGUGUCCCAACAUCAAUUGACAACCGAUGCUGAUGUGUUUACUUACCCAUAACAUAGUGGUUUGGCAAAAGAGACCAAUAGAGUAAGUACUAGGCUUACAAAGAGGUUGUGAGUUUGAAUCCCGGACCGGGCUGUGUGUUGUGUUCUUGAGCAAGACACUUCAUUUCAUGUUGCUCCAGUUCACUCAGCUGUAGAAAUGAGUUGUGAUGUCACAGUGUCAAGCUGUAUCAGCCUUUGCCUUUCCUUUGGAUAACAUCAGUGGUGUGGAGAGUGGAGGCCAGUAUGCAUGGGUGACUGCUGGUCUUCCAUAAACAACCUUGCCCGGACUUGUGCCUCGGAGGGAAACUUUCUAGGUACAAUCCCAAGGUCAUUCGUGACUGAAGGGGGUGUCCGUGUUUGUCUCCCCACCAUCGCAUGACAACCAAAGCUGGUGUGUUUACAUCCCCAUCGGCAAAAGAGACCGAUAGAAUAAGUACUAGGCUUACAAAGAAUAAGUCCUGGGGUCAAUUUGCUCUACUAAAGGCAGUGCUCCAGCAUAGCCGCAGCUGAAUGACUGAAACAAAUAAAAGAAUAAAAGAAAAAAUAGAGAAAAUAUGAAAGAGUGGACAGCAUGGAUUGGGGUGGAAAAAGAGAGAUCAAAUUUGAAAAGUUGUCUUUUUUUUUGUUUUAAACAUUCCAUUUCAUAACAAAAUCCAAGUAGUAUUGCUAACGAGUACCAAUCAAAUACUUAUUCUUGCUUAGACUGCAUUUAUGGACAUAAUUAUCAAUGAUAUGAAAUCAGGUUGAACAGUUAGCUCGAUAGCACAUCUCUCUUCACAACUACUCACUUCAUUAGAAAAUCUGGAAAGUGAGUUGAGUUUAGUGGUUCAGAGGGCUCUUAGUUCUAUGCCACUGAACAGGGUAAUUCAGGCAAACAAAAACAAGAACUUAUUUUAUCCUGUUACACAUAACUAAAACAAAAAUGACAGCAGUCUCAUGAUAUAUACAAAAUUUAACCUGAAGACAAAAUUUAAUCUAAAUAACCAUCUCUUGUCUUUUGACAGAAGAUAAAGCAUUAAUGCAAUAAUAAUUUAAUGGUAUUUUGAAAGAAAGAAAAUAGUGACACAGUGUUAAAUGAUGAGAAAAUGAUUAGUCCAUUGAACUUGUAAAAGAAAUACACAAAUACACAACAUUUGGGGGCUUUUCAUUUCUUUGUCUUUUAUGUCACAUUCAUUAGGUGAGAAACAAAUCCUCACCUCAACAGGACACUCGUUAAUCUAUAUUGCAAGUAACUUACACAGAAAAUCCCAGAUCUUAUUGCUCACAAUUAGGCAAACCAAAAAAAACUGUUGAGUUAAUUUGCUUGUCCAGAGAUAAAUGGAACCUAUCCUCAUCAUCUUAAUAUCUUCUUUGCCAUGUUUAUAUGGAUUAGAUGAAAGUAUGUUUGAGCAAAGUAUUCUAUAGUUGAAUGUCUUUCCUGUAACCAACCCCAUCUAUUUGCAAAUGCCUAAUUGUGAGCAAUAAGAUCUGGGAUUUUCUGUGUAAGUUACUUGCAAUAUAGAUUAAUGAGUGUCCUGUUGAGGUGAGGAUUUGUUUCUCACCUAAUGAAUGCGACAUUACCCAGUCUAUCAAACAACAGUUUGAACAUGCUUACAUAGAGAACUGGAAAUAAAGGACAUUAAAAAUGAGCCUUUUUGUUAACAAAGAUUGCAGGACAUGUCAAGACAUGUCAAGAGACCUGACAUGUUUUAUAGCAGACUGCAAGUAGAUGACUGUUAGUGAAGCCAUUGUUCACAACCAAUGAGUAAAUGGCAUGUGUGGACAAAGGAAAUACCAAACCACAAACACAGACAUACAUAUAUAUAUAUAUAUAUAUAUAUAUAUAUAAUCAUCAUCAUUGUCAUCAUCGUCAUUUAACAUCCGCUUUCCAUGCUGGCACGAGUCAGAUGGUUUGAUUGACAACUGGCAAGCCAGAAGGUUGUACCAGGCUCCAACCUGAUGUAGUAGAAAACACUCAAUGGGACUGAACCUGGAAACCAUAUGUUUGUGAUACAAACUUCUUGGCCACACCACCAUCCCUGUGUCUUACAGUAGAAAAUGAAUUUGUAAUCCAUAAACAAGUUUACUGUUUAAUGACUUAUACAUUCAUCAACCGCUACAAAAUAAAAUAAUAAUAAUGAUAAUAAUAAUAAUAAUAAUAAUAAUAAUAAUAAUAAUAACAAUAAUAAUAUUGCAGAGCAAGAUCAGAGCUUACCUACCAGAAACUACCAUGCGAAUGUCCUUAAAGAUGGAUCUGACCCCUCACGCAAAAUUUGCGGGAAAUUCACAGAGACAAUUGAUCAUGCUGUUUCUGGUUGCCAAGUCCUUGCUGAAAAGGAGUACCUCAGAAGACAUGACAGACUAGGGCAGUACAUCCACUGGAAUGCUUGUAAAUACUACAAAAUUAAAUCUCAUGAUAAGCAGUACAGGCUCCAUCCAGAGGAUGUAGUAAAUGACGAGGGCAUCACCAUCCUUUGGCACUUCCCAAUACAAACAGACAGAAAAACUGACUCCAAUCGACCAGGAUCAAGGACUUCAACGGAGGAACUUGUCUGUUAAUAGAUAUGUCUGUCCCUCAAGAUCAAAAUGUCUCAAGAGAGGAAUACAAAAAGCUUUCUCACUAUAAAGAUCUAUAAAUUGUAAUCACAAAAAUGUGGAAGCUUAUUACUAUGAUAAUACCAGUAGUAAUAAAGAAGGGAGCUGAGCAGUAUAUUAAGCAACUCCCUGGUAAUUCCAAUGUCCGUGAACUACAAAAGAUAACCUUGAUGGGUACAGCCCCUGUAUACUACGGAAAACACUCUCCAUCUAAAAUGGAAUAAAUGUGGUGAUAAUAUUAGCAUGCAUUGCAAAACAAAAGUGCUCUUGCUAUUCUUGGCUUCCAGAGGACGCCAAGAGUACUAAGGCAGCUGAUAUAGAGUUAUAAUGAAAAGAAGCCAUUAAUAAGAAUAAUAAUAAUAAUAAUAAUAAUAAUAAUAAUAAUAAUAAUAAUAAUAAUAAUAAUAAUAAUAAUAAUAAUAAUAAUAAUAAUGAUAAUAAUAAUAAUUGUUUGUAAUAUAAGCACAAGACCUAAAAUUUGGGGGAAGAGGAUAGUGAAUUACAUCAACCCCAGUACUCAACUGGUACUUAUUCUAGUGACCCUGAAAUGAUGAAAGGCAAAGUUAGCCUCAGAAUGUAAAUAACCAUAAUAAACACCACAAGGCGAACAUUCUAAUCAUUCUACCAAUUCAAUAAUGAUAAAAUGAAAAAUAUGUAGAUGGUAUUGAUUGAUUAAUGUAGAUGUUAACAUAAUUAUUACAAUAGUCACAGAAAUUAAUUAUUCCAAUUGAUAAUUUGUCAGUUUAUCAACUAUUGAAUGUUUAACUAGCAAUAGUUGGCAGAAACAUCUUUUAUUCAUAUUGAUGAUAUCAUGGAGAAGAGGAAGAGGAGGAAGAAGGAGAGAGAAAGAACAACAGUUGGUUCUUGCAUAAAGUGGUUCUUUAUGGAACAACAGAAGGAAGAGUAACAGAAAAAAUAGAAUUUAAGGACACAACAGCCACAACCUUAUAACCAAAGAUUCAUCGUUCUUCUAGUCCUAUUCUGUACAUUUCCCUUAUCAAUUCAUAGAACAGGUUCAGAUUACUACACUCAGACUCCAAUCAAGGAAUAUAUGGUAGCUUCAACAACCAAAAACUCCAACAUGCACCAUUCCAAUUAUAACUGACUUCAGUAAAUCUUUCCACUCCAUUUCCCACAUCCUAAUUAUAAACAAAACAUAAUGUUUCAUAGCAAAGUUUCUUUCACAUCACAAAGCAUACACAGAAUAUAAAAAAGCAUCUAAAAAUCUGUAAUUUCUCAGUUCUGUAAGGAUCUCUUCCCAUCUAUUUUAAGUUGUAUCAUCAUGGCCACUUCACAUUCACUGCAAACCAUGCACGUCCUUUUAUGUAGAAAACAUCCUAGUUACCUUCUAUUACCAAACAUAGCUGCCAAGCAGCUCAAACUCUUUACCAAAGAUCUAACAAGUUAACUCUAAACAAAUAGACUAAGACUAGCAUCUACCAAAUCCAUGUUUUCCCUUCUUUCCAGCAACAAAAAAGGACAUUAUUAUAUACAAUUAACUAUGACAAUCAACAACAUAAAUGUACCAGACACAGAGUUGAUAAAAAUACCAGCAAUUAACCACAACAUUCACACAACAUAGAAGGAAUUUAAAAAAAGAAGUAUACAAAUGCAUAAGGGCACAGAUUAUUCAUAGACACUACAUGUAGAUAACACAAAGAUAAAAUAACACUAACAUCAUCAUCAUUUAGCAUCUGCUUUCCAUGCUAACAUGGGUUGAACAGUUUGAUGGGAGCUGGUCAACUGGGGAGCUGCCCAGGUUCCAAUUGUCUAUUUUGACAUAGUUUCUAAGGAUAGACGCCUUUCCUAAUGCCAACCACUACACAGAGCAUUCCGGGUGCUUUUUAUAUGGCAAUGACAUGGGGGCUUUUAUGUGGCACUGCCACAGGUGUUUAUACAUGGAACUGGACUGUGUGCUUUUACAUGACACCAGCAAGGGCACUUUAACAUGGCACAGGUGAUUUUAGAUGUCACCAGCAUCCACAAGAGGAGCUCUCAGCUGAGAGAAGGGCAUUGAAGACAUAGCUGUAUGUAUGGAGAGCCACAGUUUUAUUUUGCUUGACAUGUCUUCUCAAAUAUAGCAAACCACCAGAAGUCUCAGUUCCUUGCCAUCUCCUCUGUGAGGCCCAACAUCUAAAGAUCCUUUCUCACUACACUGAACCAUGUCUUCCACAAAUUCCCUCCACAAUUAGAGGUUAGCAUUCCUUUAUACAGCCAUCCUCAUCCAUAUGCAUCACAUAACCAUACCAGUACAGUCUUCUCUCUUGCACUCUACAACUGAUGCCUUGUAUGUCCAGUUUUUCUCUUAAAUCAAUUUUCACUCUGCUGUACAUGCAUACUGACAUUACUGAACCAAUGGCUUCAUGCCCUCUGUAGUCAUACCCCAUGUUUCACUGCCAUGUAGCAUAGUUGUACAUACACAAGCAUCAUACGAUCUACCUUUCACUCUUAGAGAGCUUUCUGAACUUUUCCCAACCUGUUUUUAUUCUAGCAAUUACACUUUCAGAACUUCUUCUUCCACUACUAACUUGGUUGCCAAGGUAACGGAAGCUAUCUAUUACUUCUAAGGAUCCUCUGCCCUCACAUACAUUUGAGGAAGUCUAUUCUUUAUACAUUCCUAGUGAUUAUUGUACCUACACACCUGCCACACACAAAGGCUAUUUUUUCUGUUAACCUUCCCCUAAUACUGCUGCACCUAUUAUAUGUCCAUAGCUUGCACAGGGUACACCACAUGGAGUUUCUACCAACACCUUUUCUACAUAAUGAACAGAGCCAUUUUUCUGAAAGAAUUUGACUUUUGUCCAUUUUUUUCUACUUACUAGGACUUUGGUGUUAGUUAAUUAACUCUAAGGCCCUUAGAUUCCAGCCCAUGCUUCCACACUUGAAAUUUCCUCUCUAGUUCAGGUAGUAAUUCAGCAAUAAGAACAAGGUCAUCAGCAUAGAGGAGCUUCCAAGGGCAGCCACUCUUAAAUUCCUCUGUUAUAGCCUGGAGGGCUAUGACAUAGUAGAGGAGUCUGAGAAUCAAUCUUUGGUGAACUCCUACUUGUACACUAAAUUCAUUGCUAUACAAAGUGUAAAAGAAUUAUUUCUACUCUAGGCACAAAGCCUUGAAAAUUUUGGCAGGAAGUGGGCUAGUCGAUUAUAUUAACCCCAGUGCAUAACUGGUACUUAUUUCAUCAACCCCAAAAGGAUGGAAGGCAGAAUUCAAACUCAGAACAUAGUGGCAUAUGAAAUACUGCUAAGCAGUUUGCUUGGUGUGCUAACGAUUCUGCCAGCUCACUGCCUUAACAAAGUGUAAAAUAAUAUAUUCUUUUCUACUCUAAGAACAAGGCCUGAAAUUUUGGGGGAGGGGGGCCAGUCAAUUAGAUCAACCCCAGCACGCAACUGGUACUUAAUUUAUCGACCCCGAAAGGAUGAAAGACAAAGUAACCCUUGACGGAAUUUGAACUCAGAACAUAAGGACAGACGAAAUACAGCUAAACAUUUCGUCCAGUGUGCUAACAUUUCUGCCAUGUAUUAUAUCUGUCAUGGAUUAGGCCAGUCAUGCAUGGGCCUCCAAUCUCUGCACAACAAACGACAACAAACUACAGAAAACACAUUCUGCCAGUCAUUCUCAACCAGAGUUCCAAAGACCCUUGGGCGUCCAUAUAAGAGUUUGUUGUUAAAAGUUAUGUGAAAUAAAUACUUCCACAAUACGAAAAAUAUUUUAAUAAUUAUUUAAUAUUAUCUGUAAUAAUAUUUAAUCAUGAAAAUAUAAUAGGAUUCUUUUUAAACAGAGAAUGGUUAUGAGGAUCUAGUAGAGUAGAAUAAGAAUCAGAGGGGUCCGUAGUUGAGAACCACAGAUGUGAACAAUGAAACCAAGCAAAAUGUAUCACCAGCUGGACAUCUGAUGGGUAAACUUUGUUUUAAAUCAUCCUUGUAUUAUCGCCAUCAUCAUCAUCAUCGUUUAACGUCUGCUUUCCAUGCUAGCAUGGGUUGGACGAUUUGACUGAGGACUGACAAACCAGACGGCUGUACCAGGCUCCAAUCUGAUCUGGCAGAGUUUCUACAGCUGGAUGCCCUUCCUAACGCCAACCACUCUGAGAGUGCAGUGGGCACUUUUACGUGCCACCAGCACAAGGUCCAGUCAGGCGGUACUGGCAAUGGCCAUGCUCAAAUGGUGUUUUUUACGUGCCACCCGCACAGGAGCCAGUCCAGUGGCACUGACAAUGACUUUGUACCGUAUUACUUAAAUUUGAUGGUUGUACAAAACACUUAAGUUUUAGGAAAAGACUGAAAUGUUUCUAAUUCUAGUUACCACACAAACAUACAUCAGACUAUUUACUUCUACAAUGAACAAGAAUGUAGAAAUCCUAAAUGGGAACAGGGUGUGUGUGUGUGUACACGCAUGCAUGGGUGUGUGUGUGUACAGAGAGAAAAGGGGAGUGAGAGAGGGAGAGUGUGUGUUGGAUAUAUGCAAACAAACUUCAGCAGACCAUAAUAGAUGAUCUAAUGUAAUGUUAUGCAGCGUUUACUGACUUUUAACUUUCUCAAUUCUUUUUCAGAUAUGCCAACAGGAAAUGAAGAGGCAUGCCAAGAUUUUAGCUCUGGCGGCCAACCACAGUAACUUGGAUACCGCCAGCUUUUUGAACAUGACUGGGUUCUUCAUACUCGGGUUUGGGAAAGUGUUGGAUGUGUCGUUUGUAGCCAGAGGAGAAAAACAUUCUCAGCAGUCAGACAUCAUUUCAAUGGCCAAGUUCAACCAGCAGAUCCAGGACAUCAUCGAUAACUCCAGCGAGUUAAUAAGGACUACUUCCAAGCGGUUAAAGAUAGCAGAAUCCGUUAUCGGAAGUGUAGUGCAAGUGGGUAUCAGGUAAAGGCCUACAUGAUAAGUAAUGGUCAGUUCAUGUAUGACAAGACCCGGGCAAAUUAUGCGAUCAUGAGAUUCCCAGUGUCACUUGGCCUUCUCGUGUGCCGUAUUUGAACUUGUUGGAGCAUCAUCAAGAGAUAAGAAUUGGCCAGCAGUUCUGCAGUGCCACAGACAUGUUGGGGUAGGGGCUGGGAUCUUCUGUUGUAGGUGUGGCGGAUGACAUUGUCAGAGGAUACCUGAUGGCAGUUGCUUCUGUAGCUGCAUUGGGGCCAUCAUUAGGGUUCAGGGUAGUUUUAUUUCUUUGAUGUAUUGAGGUGAACAUGUGUGACAUUUUGCUGGGUGUAUCCAUUGUUACUCUUUGGUAUUCUGGAUUUUUCUUCUUUAGUUUUCUUCUCAGUAGCCUGGCACAUCCUGAGUGUAAGUGAGUGGUUGGUGGUGAUGGUUAGUGAUGGAGGUGGUGGAAGGUCUCUUGGGAUAGGAUACUUAUAAUGUAACUUAAACCUAACUCAAUUUCAAGUACAGUCAACUUUAACCCUUUCAUUACUGUAUUUCUGUUGAGAUGCUCUGUGUUUCUUUCAAUUACUUUAAAUAUAACAAAGAAUUUAGUAAAAUAACUUAAUUAUCAUUAAUCUAGUGUUAGGAACGUAAAUUGUGACUAAGGCUUGGUGGAAUAUUUUAAUUCAAAACUUAUGAAAACAAGACAUUUUACCACAGAGCCAGAGCCGGUUUUGGCCGGGUUAGUAACAAAAGGGUUAAAAGCAAUAAAUAGCAGACAAAUUCUUUAACAUACAAAGAAAAAUAUUUAUUAAAGUGUAAUUUCAUGGCUUCAGUAAUUGGAAAGUUAACACAUAGCACGUCCAAAAUGUAUGUAAAAUUGUAGAAGUGAAAUUACAAAACAGACAUGGUGCUGAUCUUUCAGUGCAAAAAUCUCAAAUUCAAAUCCACAGUAAAUGUUUUGUUGUUCAUUUCUGUAUUAUUCGGUCCUCCUAGAUGCAAAGUGGUACAGAUCUUCUUGAAGUGUUAUCUUGGUUAUACCGAUGUCCAGAAAAUUCAUCUAGCAUCAGAUAAAAACCAUAAAAGUGAAACCCCAAAAGUUAAUCAGAGACACACUUUGUUAUAUUGAAAAUUGUUACUGGAGAGCUGCAGUUGGAUGUCUUCAAGUAGUUGUAUGAACUAGAAGUAGUAGUCAGUCAAAUGCUUAGUUUCAGAGCAAGCUAAAACUAUGCUUGAGUCUAUGCAAAACCUUGAGCAAGUGUCUUCUACCAGGGACUGAGGUUGACUAAAACUCUGAGUGAAAUCUGAUAGACACUGGGAAAGCCCAUUGGAGAGACAGUUCUUAAUUUUAGAUGGUAGACUUCAUCAAAUUUUCUUAACUUAUUGGUUCUGGAGAAAGGAGUAGUGCCCUUAACAGGCUCUGCCUAACUAGUGAGAGUUAUGCCAUUAAUAUUCUUCUUGAAUAUUUAUAAGUUAACACCUGCAGGAAAGACAUGAACAGGGAGAAAAUUUCAGAGGGGCAAUGCUCUGAGGAGGAAGGAUUGGACAUUGUGAUAAGUAUGGUGCCUGGGAAGUUAUGCAGUAAACAUUAUGAGAGGAGGAGAUGGCACGAGUACUACCAGCUCUGAGGGGUACAGCCUAUCAUAAAAGGGGUAGCAAAGGUAUAGAGAGAAGAUAACACAAUAUGGUCUGGAGCUGGAACAUGUCUGUGAGUGAUUUUGUACCAGUCAGUCAGGUGACCUGUUUCUGAAUAUGGUCUUGGAUUUUCAUGUGUGCAGUAGCAGCACUAUCCUGGAUGUAAAAGCAAUACUCCAUGCUGGGCGUCACCUGAGCUUUGUAGUGUUCAGUUUAACAUCAACUCUUACCUCUCUCUGGUAUGCCUUUAGCAGAAUCUAGACUUUGGAAAACAAUCAGGCAAAGUCUCUGCUCUGAGAAUAAUUUCUUCACUUCCUCGCUCUCAGUGCCCUUGAAAAGGGUCAUGAGCAUUGCUUUUCCUUCCCUAUAUCAUAUGCAGUGACUGUGGUUGCAUUUUGUUUCCCAAGGAUUCACAGGAGAUGGUAAACAACAAAAGCUAAAAACUCAUUUACAAAGCUAAUCUAUAAGGUGUUUCAAAAUCCACAUACACCUUUAAUGCACAACACCCGGCCCUUUUUACUCAAAUAGUUGGAAGCUGAGAUGAUCCUUAUUUCUUCCUCCCUACAUUUACCUGAUAAACUGUUUUUCAGUGGAAACAGUUCAAUAUCAAAAUUUGUGAGAUUCUCAAAUCAUCUAAUAAUCAAAGCACCAAAUACCAUAAUUAUACAAGAGUGAGCAUGUAUGUGUACAUAAAUGUAUAUGAGCAUACCUGUAUGCAUAUGUGUGUGUGUGUGUGUGUAAACAGAACUAAGUCAUAGUUCCAUGUGCUUCAAAAACAGAAAUUUUGUCAUUUAUACAGGUGUUUGUAAGGAGUAUCUGUCAAACCAAUGACAACAUGGAAAAAUAAAAAAUAAACAAUAAACUGAUAAUGAUGAUAAGAAGAUAGAAUGGUGAGAGAAGAGAAUGGGGAAGGAGCAGGAACGCAUUUGCACUAACAUAAAAUGCUAUCAAGAACAUUUGUUUCCAUCACAUAAUACAAAAUGCAACAAGAUGUUUGCUUUUAUUUUGCUAUCUGUAUCAAGAAUCCGGGUUAUAUCUCUUAAUAUAACAGUUUCCUUAUCUGCCUUGUUCAUCAAAUGAUUCCAAUUUCUAAUUAUUGGAGAUUUCGUUUGUUUAUUUCUUUAGCUUUCAUUUUAUCAUCUUCAAUUUAGUGUCUUUUGCUAGAAGAAUAAAGGCAACAGCAGCCAAUUGAUAUGGAAAACCUCAGCAGAAAAUCUAUUUUAUCUUUCACUCCUUUUGCCAUUCCAUUAUCUAACAUGAUCCUGGUUUUAUUUUGCUGAUAAUUUAUGUAUUCAAAUUUCUCAAAACUGAAAGAAGUAACUUCAGAAUUUGAUAAUUUGGAACAUAGAGAAACAAGAAUGAAUGCAAAAAACAAAAAAUAAAUAAUGACAACAGAGAUUCCUUCUGUUCCAUAUUUCUUCUUGUCUUUUGUUUUAUAGUUAUUCUAUUCACAAUUCUUCUAUUCAUCAGUUCUUUAGAUUUUUUUAGCCACCUAUUCUUUAGCAUUGAAGUUUUCGGUUCUUUCUCCUUUGGGUAGAAAGAUCAUAGUUGUUCUGCUGCUGCUAUUCACACGGUGACAUUAUGGAAGUUAUGAUAAAAAGGUAAUGAUGAUAAAGCCUUCAAAUGUUCUUUCCAUCACCACAAUACACUACUAACUAAGGUGUAACAAUGUUAUUUUUCUCAUGUAAGAAUUUUAAUUCCAUACAAGUUUAACAUUACAAGCAGAUGUUGAUUAGAUGUCACUUAGUGCUUGGGCUUCUAUAUGAUGCCUAUUUACGGCUGACUUUAACAAUACAAUAGAGCAAAACCACUGAUGUGACAGAAACCCUUUGUCAGCAGGUCAGCACAAACCCUAUCAACAUGGCCAGUUUUUAUGCUCCUUCAGUUAUUUCAGUUAGCAUAAACCCUUAGCAUAUAGCCUGAAGGAAGAGUUCAAAAUCAAGUUCAGAGAAGGAAGAGCGAUGGCUUUCUGAUGAGGAAGAAAGUAUGAAUAGCUUAUAAGCACAAUGUAUUGUCUGCUUCAACCAUUCUGCCAUACAGAAGAUCCAUCUACACCUGCCAUCUCUGGUUUCUUAAGGACAGUUUUUAUAGCAUGCUGAAUGAAAGACUAUCAGCCAGUCACUCACCCUUUCUCUAUUUCUUGGAAGGAACAGUCACUGAGUGGCCCUUCAUAAUCCAUUCAUGACAUGGUCAAUUCUGAGAGAGAGAGAGAGAAUCAACCCCAGUACUUGACUGGAACUUCGUUUAUUGACUCCAGAAUGAUGGAAAGCAAAGUUAACUGUGGCAGGAUAUGAACUCAGAACACAAAGAACUAGAACAGUUGUUGCAAAGCAUUUGUCUAAUGUUCUAAUAAUUCUGCCAAUCAACCACUUUAAUUAAAUCUGUGCAUGAAGCAAUAAAGAAUUACUUCUUUAAGCAACUAAAAACCUUAAGCAACACAAAGGAAACAUCAUCUAAAUGAAUAAGAAAUUAUACCUGCAAAAUUAGAUAACCAAGCAAGCAUGUCACUUCGCCUGGAUUAGAGCUGAAUUCAUUGAUUUUAAAUCUAUUUUUUCAUACUAGCAUAGGUUGACUUAUUUUAUUGAGGCAUUGUUUUACAACUUGAUGCUCUUCUUGUCACUAACCCUUUCCUGUUUUUUAAGUAAGGGAUGUUUUUAUUAUACUUGUCUUUGAAAACACAAAGCUAUUGGGCCAUUUGUUGACAGGCAAUUGUCGGCAACCUAGUUAAGAGUACCCCUGAUGCGUCAUGCAAUAUGAUAUGCUUGAGAAGACCUGUUGAGUCAAGUUAAACUAAUAUUGUAGCUGUGACCAGUGCCACAUAAAAAGCACCAUCUGAACGUGGUCGAUACCAGGUCCGCCUGACUGGCUCCUAUGCCAGUGGCAUGUAAAAAGUACCAUCUGAACAUUGCCGAUGCCAGUACCCUCUGAUUGGCCCUUGUGCCGUGGCAUGUAAAAAGCACUAUCCAAACGGGAUCAAUGCCAGGCCCACCUGAUUGGCUCUUGUACUAGUGGCAUGUAAAAAGCACCCACUACACUCUUGGAGUGGUUGGCAUUGUGAAGGACAUUGCCAAAUCAGAUUGGAGUCUGGUACAGCUGCUGGCUCUCCAGACUUCAGUCAAACUCUCCACCCCAUGCCAGCAUGGGAAAUGGACAUUAAAAAGUGAUCAUGAUGAUGUCAUAGAAUAUAAACAUUCAUACAGAAAUGCAUCUGCAUGCAUACACACAUACAUAUGAAUGUGUGUGUGUGUAAUAGGCUUCCAUUCAGUUUCUAUCUACCAGUUCCACCUACAAGGCACUGGUAUAGAAGACCCAAAGCUAUAGAAGACAUUUACUUAAUGUGUUGUGCAGUGAAACCCAAACUGAAAUCACAUUGUUCUAAUGCAAACCUCUUUACCACACAGCAAUACCUACACCUAUUUUAAAGUUAUUUGAAAAGCAGUUUUUGUUAGAGGCAGGGUACCACUCUGAGGUGUAGGGAGAAAAACUAAAGCAGUUUAACAGAAAAUGCAGAAAAUAAUUCACAAGAAAAAAAAAUAAGGUUAAAGAGUUGGAACAAGGCAAAACAGUGGAUUUAUUAUCGGAAUCCAUAAGUUGGGUAGAAAUGGAGAGUAGCCAUCAUUUGUCUUUGGCUAUC